RNAcentral lists this ribosomal RNA (513 nucleotides) under Phelsuma barbouri. RNAcentral describes it as "partial 16S ribosomal RNA". It matches the Rfam family "Bacterial large subunit ribosomal RNA", at positions 1844 to 2588 of the family's 2925-position model. Lineage: Eukaryota; Metazoa; Chordata; Lepidosauria; Squamata; Gekkonidae. The record is from RNAcentral.
UAUUAAAGGUCAAACCUGCCCAGUGAACCAUGUUUUUAACGGCCGCGGUACCCUAACCGUGCAAAGGUAGCAUAAUCACUUGUCCCUUAAUUAGAGACUUGUAUGAACGGUUAAAUGAGGGCACAACUGUCUCCUGUGGCCAAUCAAUGAAAUUGAUCUUACAGUACAAACGCUGUAAUAUGACUAUAAGACGAGAAGACCCUGUGGAGCUUUAAAUUAAUAUAUUAAUUAACUCCUAAACCACUAUAAUAUAAUAUAAAAUUUUAAGUUGGGGCGACUGUGGAGCAAAAAAAAACCUCCAUGAAAUACGACUCACAAUCGCCAGGAAAGGCUAACACGCCCCCCCCAAAUAAUCCAUGACCCAGUCAGACUGACCAUCGAACCAAGUUACCCCAGGGAUAACAGCGCCAUCCCCUUAAAGAGUUCCCAUCGCUAAGGGGGUUUACGACCUCGAUGUUGGAUCAGGACCCCCAAGCGGUGCAGCAGCUGCUAAAGGUUCGUUUGUUCAACGAA